RNAcentral lists this ribosomal RNA (459 nucleotides) under uncultured bacterium. RNAcentral's name for it is "partial 16S ribosomal RNA". It matches the Rfam family "Bacterial small subunit ribosomal RNA", at positions 338 to 795 of the family's 1533-position model. The record is from RNAcentral.
CCUACGGGUGGCUGCAGUGAGGAAUAUUUGUCAAUGGCCGAGAGGCUGAACCAGCCAAGUCGCGUGGGGGAAUAAUGUCCUAUGGAUUGUAAACCUCUGUUGUCAGGGAGCAAAUUCACCCACUUGUGGGAGUUGGAGAGUACCUGAAUAACAAGCUUCGGCUAACUCCGUUACAGCAGCCGCGGUAAUACGGAGUAUGCGAGCGUUAGCCUGAUUUAUUGGGUUAAAGGGGUGCGUAGGCGGUGUAUCAAGUGAGCGGUAAAAUCGUGGAGCUCACAUGCAACCAGCAGUUGAAACUGAUGAUCUUGAGUGGGCGAGAAGUAUGCGGAAUGCUCGGUGUAGCGGUGAAAUGCAUAGAUAUCAAGCAGAACUCCGAUUGCGAAGGCAGCAUACCGGCGACCGACUGACGCUGAAGCACGAAAGCGUGGGUAUCGAACAGGAUUAGAUACCCUUGUAGUC